CCGCGAAUCGCCCUUCGGGGUGCACCAGGCGCGAAAACUUUACAAUGCUGGCAACAGCGAUAAGGGGACCUCGAGUGCCAGGAUACAAUCCUGGCUGUCGUAAUGCCUAAAAAGCAUUGCAUAGCAAGGGCCGGGCAAGACCGGUGCCAGCCGCCGCGGUAACACCGGCGGCUCGAGUGGUAACCGCUAUUAUUGGGUCUAAAGGGUCUGUAGCCGGCUGACUAAGUCUCUUGGGAAAUCUGGCAGCUCAACUGUCAGGCUUUCAGGAGAUACUGAUCGGCUCGAGACCGGGAGAGGUGAGAGGUACCUCAGGGGUAGGGGUGAAAUCUUGUAAUCCUUGAGGGACCACCAGUGGCGAAGGCGUCUCACCAGAACGGAUCUGACGGCAAGGGACGAAAGCUAGGGGCACGAACCGGAUUAGAUACCCGGGUAGUCCUAGCCGUAAACGAUACUCGCUAGGUGUCGGCCACGGUGCGACCGUGGUCGGUGCCGUAGGGAAGCCGUGAAGCGAGCCACCUGGGAAGUACGGCCGCAAGGCUGAAACUUAAAGGAAUUGGCGGGGGAGCAC
Molecule: ribosomal RNA, 568 nt
Filed under: uncultured archaeon
Lineage: Archaea
Description: bacterial SSU rRNA
Rfam family: Archaeal small subunit ribosomal RNA
Source: RNAcentral